This 435-nucleotide ribosomal RNA is filed under the name uncultured bacterium. RNAcentral's name for it is "partial 16S ribosomal RNA". It matches the Rfam family "Bacterial small subunit ribosomal RNA", at positions 29 to 507 of the family's 1533-position model. The record is from RNAcentral.
AACGAACGCUGGCGGCAUGCCUAACACAUGCAAGUCGAACGAUUGCCUUCGGGUGAUAGUGGCGCACGGGUGCGUAACGCGUGGGAAUCUGCCCUUAGGUUCGGAAUAACAGCUGGAAACGGCUGCUAAUACCGGAUGAUAUCGCGAGAUCAAAGAUUUAUCGCCUGAGGAUGAGCCCGCGUUGGUUUAGGUAGUUGGUGGGGUAAAGGCCUACCAAGCCGACGAUCCAUAGCUGGUCUGAGAGGAUGAUCAGCCACACUGGGACUGAGACACGGCCCAGACUCCUACGGGAGGCAGCAGUGGGGAAUAUUGGACAAUGGGCGCAAGCCUGAUCCAGCAAUGCCGCGUGAGUGAUGAAGGCCCUAGGGUUGUAAAGCUCUUUUACCCGGGAAGAUAAUGACUGUACCGGGAGAAUAAGCCCCGGCUAACUCCGUG